This 402-nucleotide ribosomal RNA is filed under the name uncultured bacterium. Its description in RNAcentral is "bacterial SSU rRNA". It matches the Rfam family "Bacterial small subunit ribosomal RNA", at positions 355 to 774 of the family's 1533-position model. The record is from RNAcentral.
UGGGGGAUAUUGCACAAUGGAGGAAACUCUGAUGCAGCAAUGCCGCGUGAGGGAAGAAGGUCUUCGGAUUGUAAACCUUUGUCCUAUGGGAAGAUAAUGACGGUACCAUGGGAGGAAGCUCCGGCUAACUACGUGCCAGCAGCCGCGGUAAUACGUAGGGAGCAAGCGUUGUUCGGAAUUACUGGGCGUAAAGCGCACGCAGGCGGCGUGGCGCGUCAGAAGUGAAAUCCCCGGGCUCAACCUGGGAACUGCUUUUGAAACGGUCAUGCUUGAAUCAUGGAGAGGGUAGCGGAAUUCCGAGUGUAGAGGUGAAAUUCGUAGAUAUUCGGAAGAACACCGGUGGCGAAGGCGGCUACCUGGCCAUGUAUUGACGCUCAGGUGCGAAAGCGUGGGGAGCAAACA